Molecule: ribosomal RNA, 745 nt
Filed under: uncultured bacterium
Lineage: Bacteria
Description: bacterial SSU rRNA
Rfam family: Bacterial small subunit ribosomal RNA
Source: RNAcentral
GAGUUUGAUCCUGGCUCAGGAUGAACGCUAGCGGCAGGCCUAACACAUGCCAAGUUCGAGGGGUAACAAUGUCUUCGGACAGUUGACGACCGGCGCACGGGUGAGUAUCGCGUUUGUAACCUACCUUUAACUGGAGAAUAGCCCGAAGAAAUUCGGAUUAAUACUCCAUAAUACUAUGAACUGGCAUCUUUUUAUAGUUAAAGCUCCGGCGGUUAAAGAUGGACAUGCGUAACAUUAGAUUGUUGGUGAGGUAACGGCUCACCAAGUCUAUGAUGUUUAGGGGGUCUGAGAGGAUGGUCCCCCACACUGGUACUGAGACACGGACCAGACUCCUACGGGAGGCAGCAGUGAGGAAUAUUGGUCAAUGGGCGCAAGCCUGAACCAGCCAUGCCGCGUGAAGGAUGACGGCGCUACGCGUUGUAAACUUCUUUUGUACAGGAAGAAACGCUUCUACGUGUAGAAGUUUGACGGUACUGUAUGAAUAAGCACCGGCUAACUCCGUGCCAGCAGCCGCGGUAAUACGGAGGGUGCAAGCGUUAUCCGGAUUUAUUGGGUUUAAAGGGUACGUAGGCGGGAAAUUAAGUCAGUAGUGAAAUCCCACAGCUUAACUGUGGAACUGUUAUUGAUACUGGUUUCCUUGAAUAUAGUUGAGGUAGGCGGAAUGUGUAAUGUAGCGGUGAAAUGCUUAGAUAUUACACAGAACACCGAUUGCGAANGCAGCUUACUAAGCUAUGAUUGACGCUGA